UGGGGAAUAUUGGACAAUGGGCGCAAGCCUGAUCCAGCCAUGCCGCGUGAGUGAUGAAGGCCCUAGGGUUGUAAAGCUCUUUCACCGGUGAAGAUAAUGACGGUAACCGGAGAAGAAGCCCCGGCUAACUUCGUGCCAGCAGCCGCGGUAAUACGAAGGGGGCUAGCGUUGUUCGGAAUUACUGGGCGUAAAGCGCACGUAGGCGGACAUUUAAGUCAGGGGUGAAAUCCCGGGGGCUCAACCCCGGAACUGCCUUUGAUACUGGGUGUCUAGAGUUCGAGAGAGGUGAGUGGAAUUCCGAGUGUAGAGGUGAAAUUCGUAGAUAUUCGGAGGAACACCAGUGGCGAAGGCGGCUCACUGGCUCGAUACUGACGCUGAGGUGCGAAAGCGUGGGGAGCAAAACAGGAUUAGAUACCCUGGUAGUCCACGCCGUAAACGAUGGAAGCCAGCUGUCGGCAAGUUUACUUGUCGGUGGCGCAGCUAACGCAUUAAGCUUCCCGCCUGGGGAGUACGGUCGCAAGAUUAAAACUCAAAUGAAUUGACGGGGGUCAUAGCUGUUUCCUG
Molecule: ribosomal RNA, 564 nt
Filed under: uncultured bacterium
Lineage: Bacteria
Description: partial 16S ribosomal RNA
Rfam family: Bacterial small subunit ribosomal RNA
Source: RNAcentral